This 666-nucleotide ribosomal RNA is filed under the name uncultured bacterium. RNAcentral's name for it is "bacterial SSU rRNA". It matches the Rfam family "Bacterial small subunit ribosomal RNA", at positions 61 to 708 of the family's 1533-position model. The record is from RNAcentral.
GUCGAACGCGAAAGCCCCGCAAGGGGUAAGUAGAGUGGCGAACGGGUGAGUAACACGUGGGUGACCUACCUUCGAAUGGGGGAUAACGUCCCGAAAGGGACGCUAAUACCGCAUAACAUCCUGCUCUUGAAUGGGUGGAGAUCAAAGCCGGGGAUCGCAAGACCUGGCGUUUGAAGAGGGGCCCGCGUCUGAUUAGCUAGUUGGUGAGGUAACGGCCCACCAAGGCGACGAUCAGUAUCCGGCCUGAGAGGGCGGACGGACACACUGGGACUGAGACACGGCCCAGACUCCUACGGGAGGCAGCAGUGGGGAAUUGUUCACAAUGGGCGCAAGCCUGAUGACGCAACGCCGCGUGGAGGAUGAAGGUCUUCGGAUUGUAAACUCCUGUUGCCCGGGACGAAACGUUUCGACCUAACACGUCGAGAUCUGACGGUACCGGGUGAGGAAGCCCCGGCUAACUCUGUGCCAGCAGCCGCGGUAAUACAGAGGGGGCAAGCGUUGUUCGGAAUUACUGGGCGUAAAGGGCGCGUAGGCGGCCUUCUAAGUCGAACGUGAAAUCCCCGGGCUCAACCCGGGAACUGCGUCCGAUACUGGAAGGCUUGAAUCCGGGAGAGGGAUGCGGAAUUCCAGGUGUAGCGGUGAAAUGCGUAGAUAUCUGGAGGAACA